UUGCCCUAGUAACGGCGAGUGAAGCGGCAACAGCUCAAAUUUGAAAUCUGGCUCUCUUUGGGGGUCCGAGUUGUAAUUUGCAGAGGAUGCUUUGGCAUUGGCGGCGGUCUAAGUUCCUUGGAACAGGACAUCGCAGAGGGUGAGAAUCCCGUACGUGGGCGCCUGCCUUUGCCGUGUAAAGCUCCUUCGACGAGUCGAGUUGUUUGGGAAUGCAGCUCUAAAUGGGAGGUAAAUUUCUUCUAAAGCUAAAUACCGGCCAGAGACCGAUAGCGCACAAGUAGAGUGAUCGAAAGAUGAAAAGUACUUUGGAAAGAGAGUCAAAAAGCACGUGAAAUUGUUGAAAGGGAAGCGCUUGCAGCCAGACUUGCCCGCAGUUGCUCACCUAGGCUUUGGCCUGGGGCACUCUUCUGCGGGCAGGCCAGCAUCAGUUUGGGCGGUUGGAUAAAGGCCUCUGUCACGUAUCUUCCUUCGGGAUGACCUUAUAGGGGAGGCGUAAUGCAACCAGCCCGGACUGAGGUCCGCGCAUCUGCUAGGAUGCUGGCGUAAUGGCUGUAAGCGGCCCGUCUUGAAACACGGACCAAGGAGUCUAACAUCUAUGCGAGUGUUUGGGUGUCAAGCCCGGGCGCGCAAUGAAAGUGAACGGAGGUGGGAACCCUUUGGGUGCACCAUCGACCGAUCCUGAUGUCUUCGGAUGGAUUUGAGUAAGAGCAUAGCUGUUGGGACCCGAAAGAUGGUGAACUAUGCUUGAAUAGGGUGAAGCCAGAGGAAACUCUGGUGGAGGCUCGCAGCGGUUCUGACGUGCAAAUCGAUCGUCAAAUUUGGGCAUAGGGGCGAAAGA
RNAcentral lists this ribosomal RNA (838 nucleotides) under Pseudocamarosporium lonicerae. RNAcentral describes it as "eukaryotic LSU rRNA". It matches the Rfam family "Eukaryotic large subunit ribosomal RNA", at positions 75 to 930 of the family's 3401-position model. The record is from RNAcentral. Lineage: Eukaryota; Fungi; Ascomycota; Dothideomycetes; Pleosporales; Didymosphaeriaceae.